Molecule: long non-coding RNA, 1153 nt
Filed under: Olea europaea (common olive)
Lineage: Eukaryota; Viridiplantae; Streptophyta; Magnoliopsida; Lamiales; Oleaceae
Description: long non-coding RNA (OEUR_LNC011947)
Source: RNAcentral
UCUGUACUCUUAGUUAUAAUUAAAUUCUAUAAUUAAUUUUCAUAAGAAAGUUGAUCCAAAUAAUUAACUUCUUUUUUUGCAAAUACAAGAAACAUAAUAAUUGAAACAUACGAAAAAAAUUUACACCAAUUUUAACAAUGAAUUUAAAGGAAUGCUCUAUCUGUAUAAAAACUAAAACAAAAUGUAUGCAUCCCAAUUCAUUUCGUCUGCAAUGCUUCAUAAGUGUGUCAAAAGAAUGUCCAAAAAAAUCAUAGCUGCGCUAAUGCUAACUACAUAAACAUUUAACUCAAUGCGCAUCCAUUACUCUACUCCAUUCCACGUAUCAGAUAUGCUUCCGGACUUCUUAUCUUUCUUUCAUUUAACUAGUUUUUAUUUCCUCUUUCCUCCAUGUUUCCAAAUAGCUAUCAUGACUUCGAUAUAACAAAUCAAAUACUCAAAGUUGGUGGUAAAUUAGAAACUUGGAAUUUCGGUAGUAACAAAAUCCCAUUUUACAGUACUGUUAAUCAACAAAUUUAUUGUGACUGAUAACAUAGCAUGAAAAGAAACAAAUGGGGAGGAAAAAAAAGUUCAAAUAAUAAAACCCCAGAUUAAAACAAGAGACCCGAGGGGUUCAAACUUCAAACUAACAAACUCAUACCAUAAAUCAGCAAAAUAUACAUUAUAAACACACAUCCACACAACAAUCGGAGGAACAUCGUCAAAGUAAAAAGGACGGAUAACAUACAAAGAAAUAUACAUAUAACAUCAAACAAUUUAAGCUAUAUUUGAACAAGAAAUCAAGAAAUUCAACGGAUUAAACGAAAACUAUUAAUUACCCAUAAAAAGCGAAGACCCAUGAAUCUUGAUAAGUUGACAAAGGCAGCAACAUGAUGGUAACAGUGGUUUAUCAACAGGAAAUGAGAUGCUUUAUUGAAAUGGAAUAAAAAUGUUGAAAAAGGAACACGGUUUUGGGAAAAAGAUUUUUCAGCCUCACUGUAAAAAAUAAGCAUGUUUUUGUUGGGACGUAAUUCUCGUGUCAAAAGCCAAAUGGCCGUCUUUUUGGUUUUGCAGAAUCCUUUGCCAGCCCUUUCGUCCACUGUGGUUUUGGUUGAUUUUACGACUUUUUUCUUAUUUUUAAAUAAAUUUAUUUCAUAUUUUUCUUUUUGUUUUCUUG